This is a long non-coding RNA of Stegodyphus dumicola, 505 nucleotides long. NCBI's taxonomy places the organism in Eukaryota, Metazoa, Arthropoda, Arachnida, Araneae, Eresidae. The record is from RefSeq and is a predicted model, not a curated record.
AUCGUUUCUUACUUCAGACCACUUUCCAUGCUCCGAUGAACACAGAUUGGUAAUUCUGUCUGCUGGUUAACGGUCCCUCGUGUUGUUCUUAUUUUCUUUCCGAUGGGCUUGCGAUUCUGCGGUCGCCAACUGGGAAGUUUGUAAUUACUCGUGAUCUUGAAUUGGAAUCAUUGUUAUUAUUGGUACAGGAAGAUGACCACUCCCCAGUCAGGCUGACCGCCUGGAGACAGCGACAAGGAAGUCGAACCAAGAGAAGCAAGAUCUCCCAGUCGUCGAGUCAUGCUCCCAGGUUGGUUCGACGCCUUCAGGGUGGACGGAGGCCCUACUUUAUAUUCGUAUGCAAACAGGACGUCUGUCAUCGAAGAUAUCAGGAAUAUCCUUAUUUAUGUCACAUUCUCUACCCUCUUCAUAGCAUUCCUGCUCAUCUUUCCUGGAAUCCGAAAAGAAAGGUUCUCAACAUUAAUAACAGUAACUACAAGUCUCUUUGUUGGAGCGAUUAUAUUAU